RNAcentral lists this long non-coding RNA (280 nucleotides) under Marmota monax (woodchuck). Lineage: Eukaryota; Metazoa; Chordata; Mammalia; Rodentia; Sciuridae. The record is from RNAcentral.
CCUGGGCCUGGCAGCCACCCUAGGUGGUGGGGGCCAUGCCCACUGUGUGGAUGAGGAGCCGAGUCACAGAGAGGCAAGCAGGUGGACAGGAGCCCCACAAUGAGCCAAGGGAGGACCCGGGUGCGAAUCUUGGCCACUGCUCCAGGAGCACAUGCCCUCAGAAGGACUCUACUGGCCCUGGAGGCCCCUGGCCCCUGCCUCGGCCCUUUGGCUUCCAUUGUGCAUUAGCCUCUUUGGAGGCAGAUGCAGUCAGUCAGAACUCACAGGAGUGGAGAACCCG